RNAcentral lists this small nucleolar RNA (208 nucleotides) under Microcebus murinus (gray mouse lemur). RNAcentral describes it as "Small nucleolar RNA SNORA73 family (ENSMICG00000025483.3)". Lineage: Eukaryota; Metazoa; Chordata; Mammalia; Primates; Cheirogaleidae. The record is from RNAcentral.
CCAACACGGACAAGCGCUGGGGUGCCCUGGUGGCUUAGUCAGCAUGGCACCUGCAGAGCAGCCCAGCACACAGGUGUGGCGGUGAAGAAUCCUGUCCCAGGACGUUGGCGAUGAGCUCGUCCCCAGCCUCAGGACAGUUGCGGGCACAUCCUGUAUAUUUCUUCUCAGUACCUGGUUGCUGAGAAGGAAAACUGUACAGGGUACAAUU